GAUGAACGCUGGCGGCGUGCCUAAUACAUGCAAGUCGAGCGAACGGACGAGAAGCUUGCUUUUCUGAUGUUAGCGGCGGACGGGUGAGUAACACGUGGAUAACCUACCUAUAAGACUGGGAUAACUUCGGGAAACCGGAGCUAAUACCGGAUAAUAUUUUGAACCGCAUGGUUCAAAAGUGAAAGACGGUCUUGCUGUCACUUAUAGAUGGAUCCGCGCUGCAUUAGCUAGUUGGUAAGGUAACGGCUUACCAAGGCAACGAUGCAUAGCCGACCUGAGAGGGUGAUCGGCCACACUGGAACUGAGACACGGUCCAGACUCCUACGGGAGGCAGCAGUAGGGAAUCUUCCGCAAAGGGCGAAAGCCUGACGGAGUAACGCCGCGUGAGUGAUGAAGGUCUUCGGAUCGUAAAACUCUGUUAUUAGGGAAGAACAUAUGUGUAAGUAACUGUGCACAUCUUGACGGUAACUAAUCAGAAAGCCACGGCUAACUACGUG
This 497-nucleotide ribosomal RNA is filed under the name uncultured bacterium. RNAcentral describes it as "partial 16S ribosomal RNA". It matches the Rfam family "Bacterial small subunit ribosomal RNA", at positions 28 to 507 of the family's 1533-position model. The record is from RNAcentral.